GUCCCUAUUGGGCCAACCCACAAAUCUUUAGCAUAUAACCUUGGGCACUAAUCAUCAGUGUGAUGGGACAAAAUUCACACUGAUCUUUUGAUUGGUUGCUCCCAAAAUCACAAGACAAUGGCUAUGUUGGGGUGGGGGGGGGGGGGGGGGGGCUUUUUAGCUCCCCUGCUUAUAAGCAGAAGACCUAUAAGUGUUUGGUAAGCCAACUUCUCAUCAGCUUUCUCCAGAAGCUGCUGUGGCUUCUGCCCAAAAGCAGAAGCAGCCGGACCCUUGCUUUUAAAAGCCAGAAGCGAGGAAAUCACUGUGGCGGGUGUUACUGUAGAUUAAUGAAAUUUUGAUAAUACCGGUCUCUAUCCUCCAUUGGUUGAGGCAAUUACUUGAUUGCCAUGAAACCCGUCUUGAUAGAUGAUGCCGCAGCAAUCUCUCUCCCUCUGAUCACAGACGCCCGGCCCCAUCAAUCUCUCUCCCUCUGACGCCGCCUCAUCUAGCCUUUCAUCACGAUUUUGGGUUGGAAAUCGAAGCCUCACUCAAGCAAGGCUGCUUGGCGAUUUGAUUCAGGUUAGUUUUUUAUCUAUUUCAGUUUCAAAUUUCUAUGAUUUUGAUGAAGGCCUAUGAUUUGAGUACUGCCAUCAUUUGAUAUCAGUGGGUUGAGUUCGAUUUUGUUUAAUUUGGUGAAUUUUCUGGACCCUUUUCACUUGUGUUGAUUGGUGUUGAUCCCCAUUUGUUUCUACUUCUAGCACAGACACAAAAGACUGUUGUGAUGCUUUUAAAUGUUUGAGAUGUUGAUAUUCUGCAAUUGGUAUAGACCCAUGUAAGUAGAUAUUUAAGUUGGAACUGUGAUUUUGGAACAGAGGAGUGUUAAUUUUGGGAACUGUUGCCUUCUGGUUUUGGAUACUGAUCUCAACAUCAUGGUUAUGCAACAAUUAUAGAUUGGGAUUAUACACUCUGUGAUGCAAGAUUAGAUGAAAAUUGGAAUUUACUCUCUGUUCUCACUCUCUGUACUGGUUGCUUCUUGUUUUUAUUUCACUUGAUUAGAUAGAGUUAUAGAUUGAUGAUAAUUUACACUCUUGUGUGCUGCAAGAUUAGGAUUUGCUCCUGCUAGUUACUUUGUUUGUUACUGGUCUUGAUGAUAAUUUACACACUGCUGCAAGAUUAGGAUUUGCUCCUGCCAGUUGCUUAGUUUGUUAUUGGUCAUGAUUUGCUCAAACCUUAGUUUCUCUGCUACCUUUGCUCCAUUUGCAGAACCUGAUAGAUCAGAUGCUCCUAACUGCUUUCUUACGAGAUCAUGAAACCCAUUCUGGUCCCAUAUCUUUUUUUUUUUUUUUUUUUUUGGAUAGAGUUCUGGUCCCAUAUCUUUUCAUGAGCUAGAAGCAUAUCUUUCCAUUCUUUAUCCAAUUUUUUAGCAUGGUCUGUUGGCAGCCAGUGGAAUUUUACCUUUUAAUAUACUAGUCUAACAUGUAUGUAUAUGAUAAUAUGAAGAAGCACCCAGAGUAUUUUAAUAACAAUAGUACCCGUAAGGGGUAGACUCCAUUUAAUACUAAUAGUUUUUGUAAUAUUUGAUUCUACAAAAAAAUGAAUUUUAUACUACAUAUAUAAAUUCCAGAAUGUAAAUAGCUAUGUAACAUGUAUGGUUAUGCUUGUUCCUUCAUUCUGCAGUUCCGUUUUUGCUUGUUCCUUCAUUCUGCAUUCUUCAUUCUCUUCUGUCUAUUCCCCCUGUCCACCAUCACAGAUUCACAGGUCAGGAUGUCGUCCAUUUUGCUAAAAAUAUCUGGGACAAUAUGUUUAAAAUACCAUUGGGUACCCUUUCCUCAACUCUCUCAAGGAGAAAUUUGUUUAAAAUGCAUUUAAUAUUUAUCUGCUGGCGCUUAUUAAUAUCAGUAUGGAAGUUCUGGCAAGUAUAUGUUAGGAAAGCCUGGUUAAAUGAAUGACACAGGUUUCAAGCAGGUUGUGUGGAAGUUGAAUCCGUUUCUGUAUAUGUUGCUGUCACUGCACUACUAUUUAUUGCUCGUUUCUGGUGUUAAAAAGGUUUUCUGGAUGUCAUCAUUCAAGGCAGUGAUUAAACUUAGAAAUUGAUAAAAUUAUUUUAUAGGGAAAGUGAUAUUCAGAAUCUCAUCAUAUAUUCAUAUCUCACUGUUCUGUGGGAACAUGUCCAUGUGUUUUUCAACUUUUUGGUUACAUACUUUGUAUAGAUAGAGCAUCUCUAUAUGCUUGUAUUCCUUUCAAAUAUGCUUCCUGGUUUGAAGAAUGUGGAUACGGCAUCCUUUCACAUGUUACAGUUUUUACUCUGUCUGCACUUUGGAGAUGACAAAUGGAUAAUAUCAAUGGAGCUCCAUCGCAUAAUUUUGUAACAUAUUUUGUCUGGAUAAGUGGUUUAAAGAGAUACAUGGCUGGUAUUAAUUCAGAGUCAUUGGGAGAUCAAGCGGAAUACCAAGCAACGCAGCAAGUUAUAUUAUCAUUCAUCAUGCAAAACUUAGCUAGGAAAUUUGAAAAUUGAAAUGUAUAAAUGCAAUAAUUAUGUUCCUUAAAUUCAGUAUUUGAUAAAUUGAUGUAUCACACAAGGCUUUUUGGUACAAAUAUUGAUCAUGGUUUGCAUUCAA
Molecule: long non-coding RNA, 2597 nt
Organism: Rosa rugosa (rugosa rose)
Lineage: Eukaryota; Viridiplantae; Streptophyta; Magnoliopsida; Rosales; Rosaceae
Exons: 2
Source: RefSeq, a predicted model, not a curated record